This 495-nucleotide ribosomal RNA is filed under the name uncultured bacterium. RNAcentral's name for it is "partial 16S ribosomal RNA". It matches the Rfam family "Bacterial small subunit ribosomal RNA", at positions 28 to 507 of the family's 1533-position model. The record is from RNAcentral.
GACGAACGCUGGCGGCGUGCCUAAUACAUGCAAGUAGAACGCUGAAGGAGGAGCUUGCUUCUCUGGAUGAGUUGCGAACGGGUGAGUAACGCGUAGGUAACCUGCCUGGUAGCGGGGGAUAACUAUUGGAAACGAUAGCUAAUACCGCAUAAUAUUGACUAUUGCAUGAUAGUCAGUUGAAAGGUGCAACUGCACCACUACCAGAUGGACCUGCGUUGUAUUAGCUAGUUGGUGGGGUAACGGCUCACCAAGGCGACGAUACAUAGCCGACCUGAGAGGGUGAUCGGCCACACUGGGACUGAGACACGGCCCAGACUCCUACGGGAGGCAGCAGUAGGGAAUCUUCGGCAAUGGACGGAAGUCUGACCGAGCAACGCCGCGUGAGUGAAGAAGGGUUUCGGAUCGUAAAGCUCUGUUGUAAGAGAAGAACGAGUGUGAGAGUGGAAAGCUCACACUGUGACGGUAGCUUACCAGAAAGGGACGGCUAACUACGUG